CCUACGGGGGACAGCAGUGGGGGAUAUUGCACAAUGGGGGAAACCCUGAUGCAGCGACGCCGCGUGUGGGAAGACGGUCCUCUGGAUUGUAAACCACUGUCCCCAGGGACGAAGAUGACGGUACCUGGGGAGGAAGCUCCGGCUAACUACGUGCCAGCAGCCGCGGUAAUACGUAGGGAGCGAGCGUUGUCCGGAUUUACUGGGGGAAAAGGGAGCGUAGGCGGGGAUGCAAGUUGGGUGUCAAAACUACCGGCUCAACUGGUAGUCGCACUCAAAACUGCAGCUCUUGAGUGAAGUAGAGGCAGGCGGAAUUCCGAGUGUAGCGGUGAAAUGCGUAGAUAUUAGGAGGAACACCAGUGGCGAAGGCGGCCUGCUGGGCUGUUACUGACGCUGAGGCUCGAAAGUGUGGGGAGCAAACAGGAUUAGAUACCCUUGUAGUC
This 440-nucleotide ribosomal RNA is filed under the name uncultured bacterium. RNAcentral's name for it is "partial 16S ribosomal RNA". It matches the Rfam family "Bacterial small subunit ribosomal RNA", at positions 338 to 795 of the family's 1533-position model. The record is from RNAcentral.